Molecule: RNA transcript, 2012 nt
Organism: Hevea brasiliensis (rubber tree)
Lineage: Eukaryota; Viridiplantae; Streptophyta; Magnoliopsida; Malpighiales; Euphorbiaceae
Gene name: pyruvate dehydrogenase E1 component subunit alpha-1, mitochondrial
Exons: 9
Source: RefSeq, a predicted model, not a curated record
AAAAAGUACUCCGCAAAAUUAAGAAGGCAUGAUUCCCACAACAAUAAUAAUAAUAAUAAUAAUAAUAAAAAUACUUUCCACUUUCCAAUUCCAACCUGCAAAUAAUCAACCGACUCUUCAUACCCCAACGGCCCAACCAACUCAGCGAUCGUAUACUUUUCUCUUUCUCUUGGCUCACACCAAAUCCCUCCUCUGUCCUCUCUCCACCCAAACCCCUUUCUCAGAUCACACCUCACUCGCCGGUCGGUAUGGCUUUAGCACACCUCACUUCCUCUUCCAGAUCUAAUCUCCUAAAACCCCUCGCCACCGUCUUAUCCUACACUGAUUCUUUCCGCCGUCCGAUCUCCACCUCCACCGACCCCCUUACUAUCGAGACUUCCGUUCCGUUCACUUCUCACAAAUGCGAGCCUCCUUCCCGCUCCGUCGAGACCACUCCUCAAGAGCUUAUUUCUUUCUUCCGCGACAUGGCUACGAUGCGCCGGAUGGAGAUCGCCGCCGAUUCUCUUUACAAGGCCAAGCUUAUCCGUGGGUUCUGCCACCUCUACGAUGGCCAGGAAGCGGUCGCUGUAGGGAUGGAAGCUGCUAUCACUAAAAAGGAUUGCAUCAUUACAGCAUACCGGGAUCACUGCACGUUCGUUGGCCGCGGUGGGACACUUCUCGAGGUCUUUUCGGAGCUCAUGGGACGCCAAGCGGGUUGUUCGAACGGGAAGGGUGGGUCAAUGCAUUUCUACAGGAAGGAUGCAGGGUUUUAUGGAGGACACGGGAUCGUUGGAGCUCAGGUUCCACUAGGAUGUGGAUUGGCUUUCGCUCAAAAGUAUUCUAAGGGCGAGACUGUUACGUUUGCUUUGUACGGAGAUGGUGCGGCUAAUCAGGGACAGUUGUUCGAGGCGCUUAAUAUCUCUGCUCUUUGGGAUCUGCCUGUCAUUUUGAUCUGCGAGAACAAUCACUAUGGUAUGGGGACGGCGGAGUGGAGAGCGUCUAAGAGUCCCGCUUACUACAAGCGUGGGGAUUACGUUCCUGGCCUGAAGGUAGAUGGCAUGGAUGCUCUUGCUGUCAAACAAGCAUGCAAAUUUGCAAAGGAGCAUGUCUUGAGGAAUGGGCCAAUUAUACUUGAAAUGGAUACCUACAGGUAUCAUGGUCACUCCAUGUCUGAUCCUGGCAGCACCUACCGUACUCGUGAUGAGAUUAGUGGCGUGAGACAGGAACGUGAUCCAAUUGAAAGGAUAAGAAAAGUGAUAUUAGCUCACGAUCUAGCUACAGAGAAAGAGCUAAAGGAUUUUGAGAAAGAAAUAAGGAAAGAGGUAGAUCAAGCCAUUGCUCAAGCCAAGGAAAGUCCGAUGCCAGAACCCUCAGAACUUUUUGCAAAUGUGUAUGUGAAAGGUCUAGGAACUGAGGAUAUCCUUUGAAUCAAGGACACUGGAAUGUGAAACUGCUCUACUCUUCAGAGUGAAAGAGGAAAAUUUGAAUAGCAUAAGCAUUUGGAGCAGAUAGGAAAGAAGUCAGAGCUGUGCUUCCAUAACUGAAUAUAAGCAGAAAGUGUUAAACAAGCCGCACUUCUCAAAAUCCUUUUUCCAAACAAAAAUUAUCCGAAAAUGAUAUCAAAUAAAUGUUAGCAAGGAUGGGAAUCUCCUGCAGGCUAAGAAUUUGUUUUUCACAAUUUUGUAUAGAAUACUAAUUCUUCUCAAGUUGUGGGUUGGAAUUGUUUGUGUAGUUUUAUUUGGAGGAGCUAUGGUUGGGUAAAUGUGAUCAUCAAUUGAAUAGGUUGCUGAUGUGCUCUGAGGUAGCAAGAAUAUUCAUUGAUAUGACCUUUUUUUUUUGUGGUUUUCUGCUCAUUUUCCAUUAGAUUAUGGCAAAAAUAAGCACUUUUUUUUAUCAUUUUGCCAAUAAGAGAUGUAUUGCCCAGCCCUUAGAUAUAUGAAUGCGAUUAAAAAUUUUAUGCCUUGUUGCGCUGGCAACUUGUUUUUGUGAUGAUGCACCUUAGAUUGAAAGGAAAAAUAAAGCUUUUUUUGACU